UUUUUUUUUUUUUUUUUUUUUUUUGAGACAGAGUCUUACUCUGUUGCCUGGGUUGGAGCGCAGUGGCAUGGUCUCAGCUUACUGCAACCUCCACCUCCUGGGUUUUCAAGCAAUUCUCAUGCCUCAGCCUCCCAAGUAGCUGGGAUUACAGGCAUGUGCCACCACACCUCGCUAACUUUUUUUAUUUUCAGUAGAGUCAGGGUUUUACCAUGUUGGCUAGGCUGGUCUCGAACUCCUGACCUCAGGUGAUCCACCCACCUUGGCCUCCCAAAGUGCUGGGGAAGUACAGGCAUGAGCCACGGCGCCCAGCUGGAAGGUCUUAACACUACAUCCCCUUUUAUCACCCAGGUUGUUGCGCAGAUUAAACGAAUUAAUGAAGUAUGGAAGAGCUGCAAAACAAAAAGCCUCUGUAAAAUAUGACAGAAAUAUCAUGAUAUGAGUAAGCUCCUAGCCUGUGUAGGUGUGAAGCCGCCUCGUUUUCCAGAGGUCACAGGCUCCCCAUUUUACUUAUGGUCUUUUCUUGUGCUUCCAAAGAGUGUGUGAAUUCAGUGGCUGUGGUGAGCUUUUUUUCUAGGCUCUAGCUGAGCCUUGGAUGAGUUUUAUCAUGCUAAGGGUCAACAUAUCCCCAGACAGAAUCGUAUUUUAAUUCAACAGCAUUCAGUAGUUAUUAAACUAUGAUAAAUGCUAAAGUGGGAAAGAUUACACUUAGACGUAAGAAGUGUCACUUGAAUCACUUAAAAAUAUUAUAAUGUAUGGCUAAUUGCACCUUGACUAUAUUAUCCAGUGCUGUGAAAACACUUCAGAUCCUUAAGUAAGGUACCAUUUAAAUACCUAUUUCAGUCUGUAAUGGGUAAUAUUCUUCAGUGCAAAGGUUGUUAACGGACCCAAUAUUCAUUGAGUAUCUAUUAUGUGCUAGGCACUUUGUCCACAUUAAUUCAUUUAAUUCUUGAAACAAUUAACUCAUGGAGGCAAUUAUUACCAGCCCCAUUUUACUGGUAAGGAAAUUGAAAUUCAGAGAUGUCAAGUGACUUGCCUAAGGUCACACAGCUGAUAAAUGGCAGAGCUGAGAUUGGAAUCUGGGAAAACCAUCUCCAGAAUCCACUGUCACAGACAGAUACAAUGUGACCUCUGUGACUUCUCUGCCUUGGUGUCCUCACCUAUAGUAUGGUGACAGUAAUUAUAUUAGGUUUCUGUGAGGACUGAGAUGAAUAAGAAAAGCUCAGAACACAGUGCUCGAUAAAUGAAAGCAUUGUUCUCUAUUGUCGUUGUCUCCUGAAAUGCCAUUCUAGCACACUUAAGCUAACAACUCCAGGGCUGGGGUUCGAUUUGGAGAGAAAUACUUUCUACUCGCCAGCAUGGAUUUAGUAGGGUUGAAACAACACAGUGCACAGGUCUAGGCAGCAGAACUGGCUACAUAAUUUCCAUGGUCCAUUGCAAAGUAAAAUGUGGUGUCCUUGUCAAAAAACAUUAAGGACUUCAAGAUGGUGACAGCAGAGCAUUGAACCGAGCACUGGGUUUCUAAGCACCAGAAUCUCUGCAAAUGCACAAAUCGAAUGCCGAUGAAGCCAGCACCUGUGGUGGGAAUCGAGGCUGCCUUAGCUACAAUCUGUGGUCUUGGGGAAUGCAGUGGAACUUUCUGAGCCUCUCUGAUUGCUCAUCAGUAAAAUGAAGACCAUUCCUGCCUCACAGGUUAUAGGAAGAAACAAACAAGCUGUUGGAUGAAAAAAUCCGGCUCCACCACAAAACAGCAGGCCAGCGGUUCUCAAUCCUAACUAUGCACCAGGACCACC
Molecule: long non-coding RNA, 1790 nt
Organism: Macaca fascicularis (crab-eating macaque)
Lineage: Eukaryota; Metazoa; Chordata; Mammalia; Primates; Cercopithecidae
Source: Ensembl